Molecule: ribosomal RNA, 433 nt
Filed under: uncultured bacterium
Lineage: Bacteria
Description: partial 16S ribosomal RNA
Rfam family: Bacterial small subunit ribosomal RNA
Source: RNAcentral
AACGAACGCUGGCGGCAUGCCUAACACAUGCAAGUCGAACGAGACCUUCGGGUCUAGUGGCGCACGGGUGCGUAACGCGUGGGAACCUGCCCUUAGGUUCGGCCUAACUCCCCGACAGGGGUGCUAAUACCGGACAAUGUCUUCGGACCAAAGAUUUAUCGCCUUUGGAUGGGCCCGCGUUGGAUUAGCUAGUUGGUAGGGUAAAAGACUACCAAGGCGACGAUCCAUAGCUGGUCUGAGAGGAUGAUCAGCCACACUGGGACUAAGACACGGCCCAGACUCCUACGGGAGGCAGCAGUGGGGAAUAUUGGACAAUGGGCGAAAGCCUGAUCCAGCAAUGCCGCGUGAGUGAUGAAGGCCUUAGGGUUGUAAAGCUCUUUUACCCGGGAUGAUAAUGACAGUACCGGGAGAAUAAGCUCCGGCUAACUCCGUG